Molecule: microRNA precursor, 130 nt
Filed under: Vitis vinifera (wine grape)
Lineage: Eukaryota; Viridiplantae; Streptophyta; Magnoliopsida; Vitales; Vitaceae
Description: MIR845_2 microRNA precursor family
Rfam family: MIR845_2 microRNA precursor family
Source: Rfam by way of RNAcentral
AGAACGCACAUUGAUUAUCCCUGAGGCCAUGGGAUAAACAAAAACUCUACAAAACCAAGUUAGCACACCUUAGAAUGGUUCUAGCAUGAUUACUAACCUAUGGCUCUGUACUAGUUGAUGGGAAAAACCU